UAGGGUGAACCUGCGGAAGGAUCAUUAC
This 28-nucleotide ribosomal RNA is filed under the name Aspergillus nomiae. RNAcentral describes it as "Aspergillus nomius partial 18S ribosomal RNA". The record is from RNAcentral. Lineage: Eukaryota; Fungi; Ascomycota; Eurotiomycetes; Eurotiales; Aspergillaceae.